RNAcentral lists this ribosomal RNA (496 nucleotides) under uncultured bacterium. RNAcentral describes it as "partial 16S ribosomal RNA". It matches the Rfam family "Bacterial small subunit ribosomal RNA", at positions 28 to 507 of the family's 1533-position model. The record is from RNAcentral.
GACGAACGCUGGCGGCGUGCCUAAUACAUGCAAGUUGAGCGCUGAAGGUUGGUACUUGUACCAACUGGAUGAGCAGCGAACGGGUGAGUAACGCGUGGGGAAUCUGCCUUUGAGCGGGGGACAACAUUUGGAAACGAAUGCUAAUACCGCAUAAAAACUUUAAACACAAGUUUUAAGUUUGAAAGAUGCAAUUGCAUCACUCAAAGAUGAUCCCGCGUUGUAUUAGCUAGUUGGUAAGGUAAAGGCUCACCAAGGCAAUGAUACAUAGCCGACCUGAGAGGGGAUCGGCCAACAUGGGACCGGGGAACGGGCCAAGCUCCUACGGGGAGGAGCCAUAAGGAAACUUCGGCAAAGGACGGAAGUCUUACCGGACAACGCCGCGGGAGUGAAUAAGGGUUUCGGAUCGUAAAACUCUGUUUGUAGGGAAGGACGUUGGUGGGAGUGAAAAGCUCAUCAAGUGACGGUAACUACCCAGAAAGGGACGGCUAACUACGUG